RNAcentral lists this long non-coding RNA (1183 nucleotides) under Felis catus (domestic cat). RNAcentral describes it as "lncRNA (ENSFCAG00000045359.2)". Lineage: Eukaryota; Metazoa; Chordata; Mammalia; Carnivora; Felidae. The record is from RNAcentral.
AUCUGGUCCUUGUCCUAGAGGAGCUAAUACUUUCUUUACAGAGAGGACUUAUAUAUACACACAAGUCUUAAAGAGGAGUAUGUUCCAGAAUGGCACCAUUUAAAGUUUAAAACAGUGUUUGAUCAAAUGUGAGGGAUGGGGUUGUGCCUACAAGUACCUCCAGCUCUUAAGAUGUUCAUCCUCAUGGAAUGUUCCAUGACAGGGUGAGGGCUCCAAGGCAAAGCAUAUAUACAGAUAGAUUGUGUCUAUAUGGUUGCCAGUUGAUCAAUGUGAUUUAACAAUUUUUAUUCUCUCAUCUCAUGUUCCAUCCUUCCCAUCCAAACCUUUGGGCUCAAGGGAGGCCACUGGCCUAGGUCUUUCUCAAAAAGACCUUCCAUCAUUGCCUUUGAUUACCGUGGACUCUGGUUUCCUUUAGAGGGUGGACCCAUGUCCUCACAACCCCCUUCCCAGAGACAGCCCCACUGUCCUAAAAAGUCACCCAUUGCUAUGCACCAACAACUCCCCUAGAGACACAGAGGGGGAAGUCCAAAAAAAAUGUAGAGGGUGAGUUUGGGGGUAAGAAAAAAUCUGGAAAAGCUCAAACUGGGAUUGGGGCAGGAGUGUGAGAAGAAGAAUAAUGACUUGUUUCUUAAACACCUAGACUUGGGCAUUUCUGGAUGCUUGCAAGAGGCCACCGCAGGGUGAAACCACAAAUCAAUUUAUGUCACGGAGGAAUGACUGUAUUGCACUUGUUCUCCUAAGGCAGGAGAUGGAAACCAAUCCAAAACAUUCUGAGGACUCCCCAGAGGGGCUCUGAGAGAUCCCACUUGUAAAGACUCAGAAGGGUGCCAGCGAGCAGGUGGGGCAUCAUGGAGGAGACUGGAGCCUGGUAUGAAGAGAUGUUCCCAGCACAAGGUCCAAACUCAUCUGCACUCAGGAGGAGGGAGCCUUCCGAGGGGGACCUGGUGGUGAAGACUGUCUGCAUGUAGACCCUAUGUGGAUGAGUUAGUCAAGGUCAACACACAGUCACCCAGGGACCCAGAGAGCCCCAAGAGCACCUUGGCAAGGUCAGUGAACUUCAUCUUAGUUCAUUUAUUUUUCAGGGGACAGUUUGCUGGACAAAUGAAAGAAAUGCAGAUUUUCUCAAAGAUUCCUAGGAGAAGUUGCCUAUUUCUUAGAAGAAGAGGUAGAGAUGAAAACCUCU